AUGCUGACACAGGGUAAGGCACACCAUGUAUGUAUACUAAAUCAUGACAACAUAUCACGUCAAAUGCUAGAUGAACUUCAAACCAGAAACAGAUACGCACUAGAUUAUGGGACCAUUUCAUAUGGGGAAAUGACGAAGCUAUAUGGUAGAAAACUAAGUUCAGUUCUUAUUGGUUUCUUGCUGCAUGAAGAACUCUCGCCAUUUCCAUUUUCUGAGACCUGUAGCAAGCAAUGCAUCAGAUGCCAAUGCUGGUUACUGGACACUGAAAUUGUUAAGAGAAUGCAUUAUUGUAACAAACAUGACAAGAGCUUACAUCCAUGGCAUCAUCAUCUCCAUCCCUCUUCCUUUUCUCCCUUUGUUCAGGUGACAAGCAGCUUGCCAUUUGGCACAGGUCAGGCCCAGGGAGCUGGGGCUUCGUUCACAAUGGAGCAAGCAGCUGGAGCUGCUGGGCCUUCGUUCACAAUGGAGCACACAGGUGCCUGCACAGGCGUUGGGGCUUCAGUGCUACCCAUUUCAGCAGCAGGAACUCGGGUAUGA
Molecule: ribosomal RNA, 537 nt
Filed under: Triticum aestivum (bread wheat)
Lineage: Eukaryota; Viridiplantae; Streptophyta; Magnoliopsida; Poales; Poaceae
Description: partial small subunit ribosomal RNA
Source: RNAcentral